GACGAACGCUGGCGGCGUGCUUAACACAUGCAAGUCGAACGGAAAGGCCCUGCUUUUGUGGGGUGCUCGAGUGGCGAACGGGUGAGUAACACGCGAGUAAACUGCCCUUGACUUUGGGAUAACUUCAGGAAACUGGGGCUAAUACCGGAUAGGAGCUCCUGCUGCAUGGUGGGGGUUGGAAAGUUUCGGCGGUUGGGGAUGGACUCGCGGCUUAUCAGCUUGUUGGUGGGGUAGUGGCUUACCAAGGCUUUGACGGGUAGCCGGCCUGAGAGGGUGACCGGCCACAUUGGGACUGAGAUACGGCCCAGACGCCUACGGGAGGCAGCAGUGGGGAAUAUUGCACAAUGGGCGGAAGCCUGAUGCAGCAACGCCGCGUGCGGGAUGACCGCCUUCGGGUGGUAAACCGCUUUCGCCGGUGACGAAGCGUGAGUGACGGUAAUGGGUAAAGAAGCACCGGCUAACUACGUG
RNAcentral lists this ribosomal RNA (468 nucleotides) under uncultured bacterium. Its description in RNAcentral is "partial 16S ribosomal RNA". It matches the Rfam family "Bacterial small subunit ribosomal RNA", at positions 28 to 507 of the family's 1533-position model. The record is from RNAcentral.